AAUUAGACUUAAUAGAGUGGUACAGUAUUCUAGUCAACACAGCUAAUCUCGAGGGCGGGGCUAAAAAUCCGUCGAAGGGCAUAUCGAUGAAGUUCCUUGUUUCGGCUCGCGACGCCCAGUCGAGGGUUGAUGCUGGGAGUAAGAAAGAUGGGGCGAUCUGCAAUGGCAUGCAGGCGUUGACCCUGCUUUCGUGGAGACUUACCUUUUGGUAAGAUAAACCUGUAUGUAUAAAUAUGAUACAAACAUACAGAGUAGCCUGCCUUGAGUGAUGUUGGCGGAUGAUAAGUUCGACUUUUCUUGCCUAGGGCCCAAGCAAGGAAGGUUUUGUUAUCGAAACCAAUAUUGCAAAAGAGGCUAAGGAUUAGACUGGUUGCAGAGGAAAACUCCUAGACUGUUCUAAUGGAAGAGGUAUAUUGGGGAUUACAGUGCGGACUAAGUGGUAAUCCAGUUCUGCUCAUGGCGACGUAGUAGUGAUAGAAUUAAAGGGAAACCGCUGUUAUGGCGACAUACAGUUUCUUUCAGGGAAAUCCUACUGGACCUUAAGCCGUAAGAUUUACUCAAUAUACUACCACUUUAAAAAGCUGAUAG
This 588-nucleotide small RNA is filed under the name [Clostridium] ultunense Esp. The record is from RNAcentral. Lineage: Bacteria; Bacillati; Bacillota; Tissierellia; Tissierellales; Tepidimicrobiaceae.